GACGAACGCUGGCGGCGUGCUUAACACAUGCAAGUCGAACGGAAAGGCCCUGCUUGCAGGGUACUCGAGUGGCGAACGGGUGAGUAACACGUGGGUGAUCUGCCCUGCACUUCGGGAUAAGCUUGGGAAACUGGGUCUAAUACCGGAUAGGAACCAUCUUUAGUGUGGUGGUUGGAAAGUUUUUUCGGUGUAGGAUGAGCUCGCGGCCUAUCAGCUUGUUGGUGGGGUAAUGGCCUACCAAGGCGGCGACGGGUAGCCGGCCUGAGAGGGUGUACGGCCACAUUGGGACUGAGAGACGGCCCAGACUCCUACGGGAGGCAGCAGUGGGGAAUAUUGCACAAUGGGCGCAAGCCUGAUGCAGCGACGCCGCGUGGGGGAUGAAGGCCUUCGGGUUGUAAACUCCUUUCGCUAGGGACGAAGCUUUGUUGUGACGGUACCUAGAGAAGAAGCACCGGCUAACUACGUG
Molecule: ribosomal RNA, 466 nt
Filed under: uncultured bacterium
Lineage: Bacteria
Description: partial 16S ribosomal RNA
Rfam family: Bacterial small subunit ribosomal RNA
Source: RNAcentral